CACGAAGUUAGCCGGGGCUUCUUCUCCGGGUACCGUCAUUAUCGUCCCCGGUGAAAGAGCUUUACAAUCCUAAGACCUUCAUCACUCACGCGGCAUGGCUGGAUCAGGCUUGCGCCCAUUGUCCAAUAUUCCCCACUGCUGCCUCCCGUAGGAGUUUGGGCCGUGUCUCAGUCCCAAUGUGGCUGGUCAUCCUCUCAGACCAGCUAUGGAUCGUCGCCUUGGUAGGCCUUUACCCCACCAACUAGCUAAUCCAACGCGGGCUCAUCUUGAACCGAUAAAUCUUUCCCCCUAAGGGCACAUACGGUAUUAAUUCCAGUUUCCCGGAGCUAUCCCGUAGUUCAAGGUAGAUUCCCACGCGUUACUCACCCGUCUGCCACUCCCCUUGCGGGGCGUUCGACUUGCAUGUGUUAAGCCUGCCGCCAGCGUUCGUUCUGAGCCAGGAUCAAACUCU
RNAcentral lists this ribosomal RNA (451 nucleotides) under uncultured Hyphomicrobiales bacterium. RNAcentral's name for it is "uncultured Rhizobiales bacterium partial 16S ribosomal RNA". The record is from RNAcentral. Lineage: Bacteria; Pseudomonadati; Pseudomonadota; Alphaproteobacteria; Hyphomicrobiales.